ACGCUCGACACCUACGGGAGACAGCAGUGGGGAAUAUUGCACAAUGGAGGAAACUCUGAUGCAGCGAUGCCGCGUGAGGGAAGAAGGUUUUCGGAUUGUAAACCUCUGUCUUUGGGGACGAUAAUGACGGUACCCAAGGAGGAAGCUCCGGCUAACUACGUGCCGGCAGCCGCGGUAAUCUGAGCGGGCUGGCAAGGC
This 198-nucleotide ribosomal RNA is filed under the name uncultured bacterium. RNAcentral describes it as "partial 16S ribosomal RNA". It matches the Rfam family "Bacterial small subunit ribosomal RNA", at positions 328 to 539 of the family's 1533-position model. The record is from RNAcentral.